This 618-nucleotide ribosomal RNA is filed under the name Leucosporidium scottii. Its description in RNAcentral is "eukaryotic LSU rRNA". It matches the Rfam family "Eukaryotic large subunit ribosomal RNA", at positions 47 to 662 of the family's 3401-position model. Lineage: Eukaryota; Fungi; Basidiomycota; Microbotryomycetes; Leucosporidiales; Leucosporidiaceae. The record is from RNAcentral.
UAAGCGGAGGAAAAGAAACUAACAAGGAUUCCCCUAGUAACGGCGAGUGAAGCGGGAAGAGCUCAAAUUUGUAAUCUGGCACUUUCAGUGUCCGAGUUGUAAUCUCGAGAAGUAUUUUCCGCGCCGGACCGCAUACAAGUCUGUUGGAAUACAGCGUCAUAGUGGUGAGAACCCCGUAACUGAUGCGGAUGCCCGGUGCUUUGUGAUAUACUUUCGAAGAGUCGAGUUGUUUGGGAAUGCAGCUCAAAUUGGGUGGUAAAUUCCAUCUAAAGCUAAAUAUUGGAGCAAGACCGAUAGCGAACAAGUACCGUGAGGGAAAGAUGAAAAGCACUUUGGAAAGAGAGUUAACAGUACGUGAAAUUGUUGGAAGGGAAACGCUUGAAGUCAGACUUGCUAUUCGGAGUUCAGCCGCAAGGUGUAUUCUUCGAUUUGCAGGCCAGCAUCAGUUUUUGGGGGUGGAAAAUCGUGGUUUGAAGGUAGCAGUUUCGGCUGUGUUAUAGCUUUCCACUGGAUUCAUCUUCGGGGACUGAGGAACGCAGUACGCUUUUUGCAAGGCUCUCGAGCUUUUCGUACUUAGGAUGCUGGUGGAAUGGCUUUAAACGACCCGUCUUGAAACAC